AUAGGAAUAACUUUUUAAUUUGGAAUUAUCUCUUCAAUUGAAAUUGAGAGUAUUAGAAAAGGGUCGAAAUUAAGGUGAAAAUUGACAGAAACAUCAAGAUAGGGUGAAGUUGAAUAGUCCAUAAAAGUUUGGGGCACUUUGAUACAUUUGGAUAAAGUUAGGGCAUUUGGUUAUUCAUUAAACAAAGAAUAAUAAUACAGUAGUACACAGUCAUUUCCCCGAAAUAACCGUCGGAGUACUCCGACCAGCCGGACUCUGGUACAUGUACUGCGGUCGAUGUGGGGUCUACUACAAAAUUCUGGUUCUAGCUGUAUAUGUUUGCUUAACUUAUCAGUAUAUUUUUAAACGCCUCUCUCACCUUUAUCUUCGUGCUUACAGUUUAUACAGAUAAAAGACGUAUUGUAAUUUCUAGUAUCUGUCUAUAGCUUCUUCUUCUUCCUUGAGACGGUGCUUUGUUCUCAAUCUCUAAGUUCCUUUUGAAAGAUCCUACUCAUGUGAGAAUGUGAAGUUCUCGUGCCAUCCCCUUCCCUUGUUUGCCUUCAACUUUUGACAUGAUUGCUUGACGACGAGAGAGAGCACACUGGUUAGCAUUCAUGCUGUGGGCUUGGCUGUCUACUAGCGUGCUCUCUAUCGUCGUCAUACAAUAUGCUUGAGGAAGGUUCCUUUUCAUCCAUUUUUGAUUACUGGCAUGUGAAUAAACAGGUGUUUCUAACAUCUUGCUGUAGCUGGAGCCCAGCUUGCUAUGGAGAUGGUUAGAAGUUGAUAAGUUUGGAAAGUGAUGUUUUAACAGUGGCCUUCCAUUGAAAGCCUCCAAAAACUGAUUUUUCUUCACUACAUCUGAUCAUUUAGGAAGUGAAGGAGCCACAAUAGCCAAGUACUUUUGCAGACAAUAUGGUUGUCUGGGUUGAAGAGGUUCCCCUUCAUAUUUGGUCCAUAUGGAGGCUGAUAUAAUGGCUUCCCCCUAAUGAACUAUGCUUGUCGCUCAAUAAUAUAUGAAAUGUUUGGCUCUACUAUUGCAGCGAAAAUGCUAGAAUUUCGGUCAAAUUGAGUUAUGUUUAAGCAUUUCCCUGAGGAGAUGGUGAGUGCUUCAAUGCUGCUGUUAAAUUAAUGGAACACUUACAUCAAUGUUUGGUAGGUAUAUUGCUUGAAGAUUUUAUGUUUUUGAAGACUGGAUAAAUGCAUUUUUGCAUGACAAUUUCAUGUUUCUAAUAGGGUUUCUCAAUGUUUCUCAACAGCAAGUAUUUGUUAUCAAUAUCUAUAGCAUGAACUCGGAGUUGUAUAUAUUUUUGGCAACCGUUUCUCUAUAAUAAGUAUGCAGUACUUCUUGACCUUUUUAGUUUUCUGAUCUAGUGUUGCGCAUUAUUUUAAGCAUAUAGAGAGCUUGAUGGUAAUAUAUUUCUGACCUCUCUUGUUGCAUUGGUUUCAAGUACUUUCAUCUUCGAGACCCAGGGAAAUGUUCAUCAGGGUCCUGUAUAAAUUUUGGAGGAAGGAAGUUAUGGAGAAGCUUAGCAAAUGAGUAUCCGGGCAAGCCUUUGCCUUGGGGUCAUGCUUCUCCAAUGCGAAUAACCUCAGAUUUUCUGGUUCCUGUUGGUUUUUGCCAUGUUUGUAGGUUGAUGUAAGCAUUGGCAACCGCUACUAUGAUGUUUGAGUAAUGCUUUUUGACAGCUAGUUUACGUUAAUGAACAACUUUUUAUAGUGUUUUCUUUCGUAUUUAUCAUUUCUUGCUUCUGCGAUUCA
Long non-coding RNA from Jatropha curcas, 1737 nucleotides. RefSeq lists it as uncharacterized. The record is from RefSeq and is a predicted model, not a curated record. NCBI's taxonomy places the organism in Eukaryota, Viridiplantae, Streptophyta, Magnoliopsida, Malpighiales, Euphorbiaceae.